This 461-nucleotide ribosomal RNA is filed under the name uncultured bacterium. Its description in RNAcentral is "bacterial SSU rRNA". It matches the Rfam family "Bacterial small subunit ribosomal RNA", at positions 36 to 518 of the family's 1533-position model. The record is from RNAcentral.
CUGGCGGCAUGCUUCAUACAUGCAAGUCGAACGAUAAGGUCUCUUACGGAGAUACAUAAGUGGCGGACGGGUGAGUAAUAUGUAGGAAAUCUGCCCUAGAGAGGGGACAACAGAGGAAACUUCUGCUGAUACCCCAUAUGAGCGUACCUGAAAUGGUAUUCUUGAAAACUCCGGUGCUCUAGGAUGAGCCUGCAUCUGAUUAGCUUGUUGGCGGUGUAAUGGACCACCAAGGCGACGAUCAGUAGCUGGUUUGAGAGGAUGAUCAGCCACAAUGGGACUGAGACACGGCCCAUACUCCUACGGGAGGCAGCAGUAGGGAAUUUUGCGCAAUGGGCGAAAGCCUGACGCCAGCAAUGCCGCGUGAACGUAGAAGCCCUUCGGGGUGUAAAGUUCUGUCAGUGGGGACGAAUUUUGACGGUACCCACAGAGGAAGCACCGGCUAACUCCGUGCCAGCAGCAGC